AGCGAACGCUGGCGGCAUGCUUAACACAUGCAAGUCGAGCGGGCACCUUCGGGUGUCCGCGGCAGACGGGUGAGUAACACGUGGGAACGUACCCUUCGGUUCGGAAUAACGCUGGGAAACUAGCGCUAAUACCGGAUACGCCCUUAUGGGGAAAGGUUUACUGCCGAAGGAUCGGCGCGCGUCUGAUUCGUUAGUUGGUGGGGUAACGGCCUACCAAGGCGCCUAACAGUAGCUGGUCUGAGAGGAUGAUCAGCCACACUGGGACUGAGACACGGCCCAGACUCCUCCGGGAGGCGGCAGUGGGGGAUAUUGGAAAAUGGGCGCAAGGCUGAUCCAGCCAGGACGCGUGAGUGAUGAAGGCCUUAGGGUUGUAAAGCUCUUUUGUCCGGGACGAUAAUGACGGUACCGGAAGAAUAAGCCCCGGCUAACUUCGUG
Molecule: ribosomal RNA, 435 nt
Filed under: uncultured bacterium
Lineage: Bacteria
Description: partial 16S ribosomal RNA
Rfam family: Bacterial small subunit ribosomal RNA
Source: RNAcentral